Molecule: ribosomal RNA, 274 nt
Filed under: uncultured prokaryote
Description: partial 16S ribosomal RNA
Rfam family: Bacterial small subunit ribosomal RNA
Source: RNAcentral
UGAGGAAUAUUGCGCAAUGGAGGAAACUCUGACGCAGCAACGCCGCGUGAGUGAAGAAGGCUUUCGGGUUGUAAAGCUCUGUCAGGUGGGAAGAAACCUUUAUAGUUGAAUAGGCUAUAAAACUGACGGUACCACCAAAGGAAGCACCGGCUAACUACGUGCCAGCAGCCGCGGUAAGACGGAGGGUGCAAGCGAUGUUCGGACUCACUGGGCGUAAAGCGCGUGUAGGCGGCUUGACAAGUCGAAUGUGAAAGCCCGGGGCUCAACCUCGGAA